This 2894-nucleotide ribosomal RNA is filed under the name Stenotrophomonas maltophilia. Its description in RNAcentral is "23S ribosomal RNA". It matches the Rfam family "Bacterial large subunit ribosomal RNA". The record is from RNAcentral. Lineage: Bacteria; Pseudomonadati; Pseudomonadota; Gammaproteobacteria; Lysobacterales; Lysobacteraceae.
GUUAUAUGGUCAAGCGAAUAAGCGCACACGGUGGAUGCCUUGGCGGUCAGAGGCGAUGAAGGACGUGGCAGCCUGCGAAAAGUAUCGGGGAGCUGGCAACAAGCUUUGAUCCGGUAAUGUCCGAAUGGGGAAACCCACCCGCUUGCGGGUAUCCUGCAGUGAAUACAUAGCUGCUGGAGGCGAACCUGGUGAACUGAAAUAUCUAAGUAACCAGAGGAAAAGAAAUCAACCGAGAUUCCGUAAGUAGCGACGAGCGAACGCGGACUAGCCCUUAAGCUGAUUUGGUUCUAGGAAAACGCUCUGGAAAGAGCGGCCAUAGAAGGUGAUAGCCCUGUAUCUGAAAGGGCCAUUUCAGUGAAGACGAGUAGGGCGGGGCACGUGAAACCCUGUCUGAACAUGGGGGGACCAUCCUCCAAGGCUAAAUACUACUGACCGACCGAUAGUGAACCAGUACCGUGAGGGAAAGGCGAAAAGAACCCCGGAGAGGGGAGUGAAAUAGAACCUGAAACCGUGUGCGUACAAGCAGUAGGAGCUCCGCAAGGAGUGACUGCGUACCUUUUGUAUAAUGGGUCAGCGACUUACUGUUCGUGGCAAGCUUAACCGUAUAGGGGAGGCGAAGGGAAACCGAGUCUGAUAAGGGCGCAUAGUCGCGGGCAGUAGACCCGAAACCGGGUGAUCUAGUCAUGCCCAGGGUGAAGGUGCGGUAACACGCACUGGAGGCCCGAACCCACUCCCGUUGCAAAGGUAGGGGAUGAGGUGUGAUUAGGAGUGAAAAGCUAAUCGAACCCGGAGAUAGCUGGUUCUCCUCGAAAGCUAUUUAGGUAGCGCCUCAUAUGUAUCCUCUCGGGGGUAGAGCACUGUUAUGGCUAGGGGGUCAUCGCGACUUACCAAACCAUUGCAAACUCCGAAUACCGAGACGGACUGUAUGGGAGACACACGGCGGGUGCUAACGUCCGUCGUGAAAAGGGAAACAACCCAGACCCACAGCUAAGGUCCCAAAUUUUGUGCUAAGUGGAAAACCAUGUGGAAAGGCACAGACAGCCAGGAGGUUGGCUUAGAAGCAGCCACCCUUUAAAGAAAGCGUAAUAGCUCACUGGUCGAGUCGGUCUGCGGGGAAGAUUUAACGGGGCUAAGCACAGAACCGAAGCUUGGGGUGCAUAACUUUGUUAUGCGCGGUAGAGGAGCGUUCCGUAAGCCGUUGAAGGUGGAUUGAGAAGUCUGCUGGAGGUAUCGGAAGUGCGAAUGCUGACAUGAGUAACGAUAAUGCGGGUGAAAAACCCGCACGCCGAAAGCCCAAGGUUUCCUUGCGCAACGUUAAUCGGCGCAGGGUGAGUCGGCCCCUAAGGCGAGGACGAAAGUCGUAGUCGAUGGGAAGCAGGUUAAUAUUCCUGCACCUCGCGUAAGUGCGAUGGAGGGACGGAGAAGGUUAGGUGUACCAGGCGUUGGUUGUCCUGGGGAAAGGCGGUAGGUUUGGAUCUUUGGCAAAUCCGGGAUCCUCUAAGACCGAGCACCGAGACGAGCCUUUAUGGCAAAGUCACUGAUACCACGCUUCCAGGAAAAGCUCCUAAGCUUCAGCUUACGCAGACCGUACCGUAAACCGACACAGGUGGGUAGGAUGAGAAUUCUCAGGCGCUUGAGAGAACUCGGGUGAAGGAACUAGGCAACAUGGCACCGUAACUUCGGGAGAAGGUGCACCCUUUUUGGUGGCUCGUGCGAGCUAUAGCUGAAGAGGGUCGCAGUAACCAGGCCGCUGCGACUGUUUAUCAAAAACACAGCACUCUGCAAACACGAAAGUGGACGUAUAGGGUGUGACGCCUGCCCGGUGCUGGAAGGUUAAUUGAUGGGGUCAGCCGCAAGGCGAAGCUCUUGAUCGAAGCCCCAGUAAACGGCGGCCGUAACUAUAACGGUCCUAAGGUAGCGAAAUUCCUUGUCGGGUAAGUUCCGACCUGCACGAAUGGCGUAACGACAGCGGCGCUGUCUCCACCCGAGACUCAGUGAAAUUGAAAUCGCUGUGAAGAUGCAGCGUUCCCGUGGCAAGACGGAAAGACCCCGUGAACCUUUACUAUAGCUUUACACUGAACGUUGAGUUCGUCUGUGUAGGAUAGGUGGGAGGCUAUGAAACCAUGGCGCUAGCUGUGGCGGAGCCAUCCUUGAAAUACCACCCUGUCGUGCUUGACGUUCUAACCUGGGCCCAUUAUCUGGGUCGGGGACCGUGUAUGGUGGGUAGUUUGACUGGGGCGGUCUCCUCCUAAAGAGUAACGGAGGAGCUCGAAGGUACGCUCAGCGCGGUCGGACAUCGCGCACUGUGUGCAAAGGCAUAAGCGUGCUUGACUGCAAGAUCGACGGAUCAAGCAGGUAGGAAACUAGGACUUAGUGAUCCGGUGGUUCUGUAUGGAAGGGCCAUCGCUCAACGGAUAAAAGGUACUCCGGGGAUAACAGGCUGAUACCGCCCAAGAGUUCAUAUCGACGGCGGUGUUUGGCACCUCGAUGUCGGCUCAUCACAUCCUGGGGCUGUAGUCGGUCCCAAGGGUAUGGCUGUUCGCCAUUUAAAGUGGUACGCGAGCUGGGUUCAGAACGUCGUGAGACAGUUCGGUCCCUAUCUGCCAUGGGCGUUGGAGAUUUGAGAGGGGCUGCUCCUAGUACGAGAGGACCGGAGUGGACGAACCUCUGGUGUUCCGGUUGUCACGCCAGUGGCAUUGCCGGGUAGCUAUGUUCGGAAGCGAUAACCGCUGAAAGCAUCUAAGCGGGAAGCGCGCCUCAAGAUGAGAUCUCCCGGGGCACAAGCCCCCUGAAGGAACCAUGUAGACUACGUGGUUGAUAGGUCAGGUGUGUAAGUACAGCAAUGUAUUGAGCUAACUGAUACUAAUGAUCCGUGCGGCUUGACCAUAUAACCU